GCGGUGAAAUGCGUAGAUAUCGGGAGGAACACCCGUGGCGAAAGCGGCUCUCUGGACCACUACUGACGCUGAGGCGCGAAAGCUAGGGGAGCAAACAGGAUUAGAUACCCUGGUAGUCCUAGCCCUAAACGAUGGAUGUUUGGUGUGGCGGGUACCCAAUCCCGCCGUGCCGGAGCUAACGCGUUAAACAUCCCGCCUGGGGAGUACGGUCGCAAGGCUGAAACUCAAAUGAAUUGACGG
Molecule: ribosomal RNA, 240 nt
Filed under: uncultured bacterium
Lineage: Bacteria
Description: partial 16S ribosomal RNA
Rfam family: Bacterial small subunit ribosomal RNA
Source: RNAcentral